UAAAUAUAUAAAACGUCAUUUA
RNAcentral lists this small nuclear RNA (22 nucleotides) under Arabidopsis thaliana (thale cress). RNAcentral's name for it is "snRNA_04979". The record is from RNAcentral. Lineage: Eukaryota; Viridiplantae; Streptophyta; Magnoliopsida; Brassicales; Brassicaceae.